GGUGGUUAGAGCUAUAGGCAGUGAGCUGAGGCAGGAAUCAGAUGGCUUUACCCAUGGAGAUUUUUGUUGCUGGCUAAUUUGCUACAUAUUCUUAGAACUGGUUUGAUUAAGAAAAAAAGCUGUUGGUGUGGUGACUGGAAGUCUAACAACAAUCACCACAAUAGAUAUCUGCAGCCCUGAAACCAAUUUUCAGGCUUGAAUUUCUUUUACUUUUCUUCUUUCUUUCUUAUUGUGUGUCUCCAAGUCCUGAGUCUACUGGGGUUAUGUAGAAAAAAAGUUUUAAACAUUUUUUUGGGAAAUAAUUGCAAAGUUACAGCUAAAUUAUAAGAAAAAAAGAAGAGUUCUACACUUUGGGAGGCCGAGGCGGGUGGAUCAUGAGGUCAGGAGAUCGAGACCAUCCUGGCUAACAAGAUCUUACCUAUGUUCAAACUUUGAAGGGUAUUUUUAGAUCUAAGAGAUCUGGGUCUUUAAAGUCAGUCUUGGCCAGAAUCAGGCUGCAAAUGCCAAAGCAAGAGAUGUCAGCAAUGAGUUGCAGGUCUUUGCCAAACAGAGCAUCAUCUGGCAGUGAAAGGAGAGCAGAAGAGGGGAUUUUGAAGUCUUCCUGCACACUUCCGACAACUUGAUUGAACUGGACGCCCUUGGAAGUUCAUGGCAUCGCCUAUAACAGAGUCUGUGUAGGCAAAACCCCAGCCUAUGCUGGAAUUUAACUCUUAAAAAGCAACCUAAGUAGAACACAAGAUUGUAAACUCUAAGGAGAUUCUAACACCAAAAGAAAGUAUGACUUGAGCCAAUGAAAUGCCAAAAUCCAGUUCUAGCUGACAACGUCAGUAGUGGAGGACAGACUUCCACUUGCCAUUUGAGGAAAAAGCAUGUGGAUUCAUGAGCAUAACAGCAGAUACCCCACUACCAAUUACCAAAUCCUGUGCACAUUCCUGUUCUCCAGUCACCUUUUCUCCAUAAAUGUUUGUGGUAUAAAAUGAAAACCUUCCCAAAUAUUAACCAGUCAA
This 1007-nucleotide long non-coding RNA is filed under the name Homo sapiens (human). RNAcentral's name for it is "novel transcript". The record is from RNAcentral. Lineage: Eukaryota; Metazoa; Chordata; Mammalia; Primates; Hominidae.